GAUGAACGCUGGCGGCGUGCCUAAUACAUGCCAGUCGAGCGAACGGACGAGAAGCUUGCUUCUCUGAUGUUAGCGGCGGACGGGUGAGUAACACGUGGAUAACCUACCUAUAAGACUGGGAUAACUUCGGGAAACCGGAGCUAAUACCGGAUGAUAUUUUGAACCGCAUGGUUCAAAAGUGAAAGACGGUCUUGCUGUCACUUAUAGAUGGAUCCGCGCUGCAUUAGCUAGUUGGUAAGGUAACGGCUUACCAAGGCAACGAUGCAUAGCCGACGUGAGAGAGUGAUCGGCCACACGGGAAGUGGGACACGGUCCAGACUCCUACGGGAGGCAGCAGUAGGGAAUCGUCCGCAAUGGGCGAAAGCCUGACGGAGCAACGCCGCGUGAGUGAUGAAGGUCUUCGGAUCGUAAAACUCUGUUAUUAGGGAAGAACAUAUGUGUAAGUAACUGUGCACAUCUUGACGGUACCGAAUCAGAAAGCCACGGCUAACUACGUG
Molecule: ribosomal RNA, 497 nt
Filed under: uncultured bacterium
Lineage: Bacteria
Description: partial 16S ribosomal RNA
Rfam family: Bacterial small subunit ribosomal RNA
Source: RNAcentral